GACGAACGCUGGCGGCGUGCUUAACACAUGCAAGUCGAACGGAAAGGCCCUGCUUUUGUGGGGUGCUCGAGUGGCGAACGGUUGAGUAACACGUGAGUAAACUGCCCUUGACUUUGGGAUAACUGCAGGAAACUGGGGCUAAUACCGGAAAGGAGCUCCUGCUGCAUGGUGGGGGUUGGAAAGUUUCGGCGGUUGGGGAUGGACUCGCGGCUUAUCAGCUUGUUGGGGGGGUAGUGGCUUACCAAGGCGUUGACGGGUAGCCGGCCUGAGAGGGUGACCGGCCACAUUGGGACUGAGAUACGGCCCAGACUCCUACGGGAGGCAGCAGUGGGGAAUAUUGCACAAUGGGCGGAAGCCUGAUGCAGCAACGCCGCGUGCGGGAUGACGGCCUUCGGGUUGUAAACCGCUUUCGCCUGUGACGAAGCGUGAGUGACGGUAAUGGGUAAAGAAGCACCGGCUAACUACGUG
RNAcentral lists this ribosomal RNA (468 nucleotides) under uncultured bacterium. RNAcentral's name for it is "partial 16S ribosomal RNA". It matches the Rfam family "Bacterial small subunit ribosomal RNA", at positions 28 to 507 of the family's 1533-position model. The record is from RNAcentral.